GGGUUAUAUGCCUUUAUUGUCAAACUCUGCUUUUUGUUGGUCCAUUGCGAAACGUACUGAUUUACCAGCAAACAUACUGACAAGCCCGAACGAUGUUCGGGCUUUUUUUUUAUUU
RNAcentral lists this small RNA (115 nucleotides) under Citrobacter sedlakii. RNAcentral describes it as "MicC RNA". The record is from RNAcentral. Lineage: Bacteria; Pseudomonadati; Pseudomonadota; Gammaproteobacteria; Enterobacterales; Enterobacteriaceae.